AGCCUUCUGUAUCCGUGCUGAGAUUUCGUCAGAGAUGUACCCGUUGAGGCUGAUGGUACUUCCCGAAUAAGUGAAGCG
This 78-nucleotide microRNA precursor is filed under the name Trichobilharzia regenti. Its description in RNAcentral is "mir-3492 microRNA precursor family". It matches the Rfam family "mir-3492 microRNA precursor family". Lineage: Eukaryota; Metazoa; Platyhelminthes; Trematoda; Strigeidida; Schistosomatidae. The record is from Rfam by way of RNAcentral.